GAUGAACGCUGGCGGCGUGCCUAACACAUGCAAGUCGAACGGAGUCCAGCCUUUAAGACCUUCGGGUCAAAGAGGGGAAGACUGAGUGGCGGACGGGUGAGUAACACGUGGGCAACCUGGCUCAUAGAGGGGGAUAACAGAGAGAAAUUUCUGCUAAUACCGCAUAAGCACACACUGCCGCAUGGCAGAGGGUGAAAAGAGAAUCGCUAUGAGAUGGACCCGCGUCUGAUUAGCCAGUUGGCAGGGUAAGAGCCUACCAAAGCGACGAUCAGUAGCCGAUCUGAGAGGAGGAACGGCCAGAUGGGGACUGAGACACGGCCCAAACUCCGACGGGAGGCAGCAGUGGGGGAUAUUGCACAAUGGGGGGAACCCUGAUGCAGCGACGCCGCGUGAGUGAAGAAGUAUUUCGGUAUGUAAAGCUCUAUCAGCAGGGAAGAUAAUGACAGUACCUGAAUAAGAAGCCCCGGCUAACUACGUG
RNAcentral lists this ribosomal RNA (478 nucleotides) under uncultured bacterium. RNAcentral describes it as "partial 16S ribosomal RNA". It matches the Rfam family "Bacterial small subunit ribosomal RNA", at positions 28 to 507 of the family's 1533-position model. The record is from RNAcentral.